GUGCCAUACUGUGGGGAUAAGAUC
This 24-nucleotide non-coding RNA is filed under the name Cricetulus griseus (Chinese hamster). Lineage: Eukaryota; Metazoa; Chordata; Mammalia; Rodentia; Cricetidae. The record is from RNAcentral.